CCACCGCGGUUAGACGAGAGGCCCUAGUUGAUAUUUUAACGGCGUAAAGGGUGGUUAAGGACAAACAAAAAUAAAGCCAAAUGGCCCCUCGGCUGUCAUACGCUUCUAGGUGUCCGAAGCCCCAACACGAAAGUAGCUUUAACAAAUUACCUGACCCCACGAAAGCUGAGAAACAAACUGGGAUUAGAUACCCCACUAUGCUCAGCCAUAAACUUAGACAUCCAACUACAAUUAGAUGUCCGCCAGGGUACUACGAGCAUUAGCUUAAAACCCAAAGGACCUGACGGUGUCUCAGACCCCCCUAGAGGAGCCUGUUCUAGAACCGAUAACCCCCGUUUAACCUCACCACUUCUAGCCACCCCAGCCUAUAUACCGCCGUCGUCAGCUUACCCUGUGAAGGAGAUAAAAGUAAGCGAAAUGGGUACAACCCAGAACGUCAGGUCGAGGUGUAGCGCAUGAAGUGGAAAGAAAUGGGCUACAUUUUCUAUCACAGAACAUUACGAACAUGUACCAUGAAAUAGUGCUUGAAGGAGGAUUUAGUAGUAAAAGGGAAAUAGAGUGUCCCUUUGAACCCGGCUCUGAGACGCGUACACACCGCCCGUCACUCUCCCCUGUCAACACGCACUAAAAAUACUUAAUACAAAAGCACUGACAAGGGGAGGCAAGUCGUAACACG
RNAcentral lists this ribosomal RNA (676 nucleotides) under Cyclocheilichthys apogon (beardless barb). RNAcentral's name for it is "Anematichthys apogon (beardless barb) partial 12S ribosomal RNA". It matches the Rfam family "Bacterial small subunit ribosomal RNA", at positions 512 to 1495 of the family's 1533-position model. RNAcentral also lists the same sequence under 2 other names. Lineage: Eukaryota; Metazoa; Chordata; Actinopteri; Cypriniformes; Cyprinidae. The record is from RNAcentral.